CAGGACUUUUCACAGAAAGGGAUUCAGCAGCUUGCCUGAGACUGACCCAGUUUUAGCACAGCAAGCCCAGAGCCCGGAGAAAUGCCUCAGACCCAGUCAAGUCAAGCAGCUGGUCGCCCAAGAAAGCAUGUGAAGAGACUCUAGCACCCUGGCAGUCAACAGCCAUGCAAGCGUAUACAAUGACCUCCACGCGGAAAAUGAUUCCACCGAUACCAGUGACUCCAUUAGUGACAGUGGAAGUCAUUCUACACAGCCCUUCUCUCUCAUCUCCCUCACACAAGCCACGAUGAUUUUCAAAGGCAGAUGGCCUAUGAUCUCAACUGACCUGAAGCAGGCCACCACAGAACUACCAAACCUGGGGGCCAGCCAUCCAAGCAGAGCAACUCUGGGGAAUAAAGAUAUCUGGAGAAGGCCUUCUCCCCCAC
Molecule: long non-coding RNA, 425 nt
Filed under: Suricata suricatta (meerkat)
Lineage: Eukaryota; Metazoa; Chordata; Mammalia; Carnivora; Herpestidae
Description: lncRNA (ENSSSUG00005007890.1)
Source: RNAcentral